UACGGAGGGUGCAAGCGUUGUUCGGAAUUAUUGGGCGUAAAGAGCUCGUAGGCGGUUUGUCGCGUCUGCUGUGAAAACUCGGGGCUUAACCCCGGGCCUGCAGUGGGUACGGGCAGACUAGAGUGCGGUAGGGGAGACUGGAAUUCCUGGUGUAGCAGUGAAAUGCGCAGAUAUCAGGAGGAACACCGGUGGCGAAGGCGGGUCUCUGGGCCGUAACUGACGCUGAGGAGCGAAAGCGUGGGGAGCGAACAGG
Molecule: ribosomal RNA, 253 nt
Filed under: uncultured bacterium
Lineage: Bacteria
Description: partial 16S ribosomal RNA
Rfam family: Bacterial small subunit ribosomal RNA
Source: RNAcentral